CAAAGGGUAGUUUAAUAAAAAUAUCAGUUUUGGGGACUGAAGAUGCAGAGUAGUUUUGUUCUUUUGA
RNAcentral lists this transfer RNA (67 nucleotides) under Anolis cybotes (large-headed anole). RNAcentral describes it as "tRNA-Pro". Lineage: Eukaryota; Metazoa; Chordata; Lepidosauria; Squamata; Anolidae. The record is from RNAcentral.